CCUACGGGAGGCAGCAGUGAGGAAUAUUGGUCAAUGGGCGCGAGCCUGAACCAGCCAAGUCGCGUGAGGGAUGACUGCACAGCGUAUUGUAAACUUCUUUUAUCAGGGAAUAAAGUCGGGCACGAGUGCCUUUUUGUGGGUACUUUAUGAAUAAGCAUCGGCUAACUCCGUGCCAGCAGCCGCGGUAAUACGGAGGAUCCGAGCGUUAUCCGGAUUUAUUGGGUUAAAGGGAGCGUAGGUGGGUUGUUAAGUCAGUUGUGAAAGUUUGCGGCUCAACCGUAAAAUUGCAAUUGAUACUGGCAGCCUUGAGUACAGUAGAGGUAGGCGGAAUUCGUGGUGUAGCGGUGAAAUGCUUAGAUAUCACGAAGAACUCCGAUUGCGAAGGCAGCCUACUAAACUGUCACUGACACUGAUGCUCGAAAGUGUGGGUAUCAAACAGGAUUAGAUACCCGAGUAGUC
This 459-nucleotide ribosomal RNA is filed under the name uncultured bacterium. RNAcentral's name for it is "partial 16S ribosomal RNA". It matches the Rfam family "Bacterial small subunit ribosomal RNA", at positions 338 to 795 of the family's 1533-position model. The record is from RNAcentral.